CCUACGGGUGGCAGCAGUGGGGGAUAUUGCACAAUGGGGGGAACCCUGAUGCAGCGACGCCGCGUGGGUGAAGAAGCGCCUCGGCGCGUAAAGCCCUGUCAGCAGGGAAGAAAAUGACGGUACCUGAAGAAGAAGCCCCGGCUAACUACGUGCCAGCAGCCGCGGUAAUACGUCGGGGGCAAGCGUGAGCCGGAUUUACGGGGUGUAAAGGGGGCGCAGACGGCGAGGCAAGGCAGGAGUGCAAGCCCGGGGCCCAACCCCGGGACUGCUCUUGGAACUGCGUGGCUGGAGUGCAGGAGGGCCCGGCGGAAUUCCUGGUGUAGCGGUGAAAUGCGUCGAUAUCAGGAGGAACACCUGUGGCGCCGGCGGCCUGCUGGACUGCAACUGACGUUGAGGCCCGCAAGCGUGGGGAGCAAACAGGAUUAGAUACCCUAGUAGUC
This 440-nucleotide ribosomal RNA is filed under the name uncultured bacterium. RNAcentral's name for it is "partial 16S ribosomal RNA". It matches the Rfam family "Bacterial small subunit ribosomal RNA", at positions 338 to 795 of the family's 1533-position model. The record is from RNAcentral.